UACGUAGGUGGCGAGCGUUGUCCGGAUUUACUGGGCGUAAAGAGCGCGCAGGCGGUCGUUCAAGUCGCGUGUGAAAGCCCCCGGCUCAACUGGGGAGGGUCACGCGAUACUGAUCGACUCGAAGGCAGGAGAGGGUAGUGGAAUUCCCGGUGUAGUGGUGAAAUGCGUAGAUAUCGGGAGGAACACCAGUGGCGAAGGCGACUACCUGGCCUGUUCUUGACGCUGAGGCGCGAAAGCUAGGGGAGCAAAUGGG
RNAcentral lists this ribosomal RNA (253 nucleotides) under uncultured bacterium. Its description in RNAcentral is "partial 16S ribosomal RNA". It matches the Rfam family "Bacterial small subunit ribosomal RNA", at positions 524 to 776 of the family's 1533-position model. The record is from RNAcentral.